CCUACGGGAGGCAGCAGUGGGGAAUAUUGCACAAUGGGCGAAAGCCUGAUGCAGCAACGCCGCGUGAAGGAAGAAGGGUUUCGGCUUGUAAACUUCUAUCAACAGGGACGAAAGAAAUGACGGUACCUGAAUAAGAAGCCCCGGCUAACUACGUGCCAGCAGCCGCGGUAAUACGUAGGGGGCAAGCGUUAUCCGGAAUUACUGGGUGUAAAGGGUGAGUAGGCGGCAUGGUAAGCCAGAUGUGAAAGCCUUGGGCGUAACCCGAGGAUUGCAUUUGGAACUAUCAAGCUAGAGUACAGGAGAGGAAAGCGGAAUUCCUAGUGUAGCGGUGAAAUGCGUAGAUAUUAGGAAGAACACCAGUGGCGAAGGCGGCUUUCUGGACUGAAACUGACGCUGAGGCACGAAAGCGUGGGGAGCGAACAGGAUUAGAUACCCCAGUAGUC
This 443-nucleotide ribosomal RNA is filed under the name uncultured bacterium. RNAcentral describes it as "partial 16S ribosomal RNA". It matches the Rfam family "Bacterial small subunit ribosomal RNA", at positions 338 to 795 of the family's 1533-position model. The record is from RNAcentral.